This is a long non-coding RNA of Mizuhopecten yessoensis (Yesso scallop), 558 nucleotides long. RefSeq lists it as uncharacterized. The record is from RefSeq and is a predicted model, not a curated record. Lineage: Eukaryota; Metazoa; Mollusca; Bivalvia; Pectinida; Pectinidae. The transcript is spliced from 3 exons.
UACAAACAUAUUUUUAAGACGUUUGUUAAUUGUGAUAAAUACGUUGAUGCAUGGCUAUUAUGAUAAUGUAUUCCAUCUAACUAAUAUGUUGAAAAGUAUUUAUCUGAAAUGACAACCUAUCAUUUACAGCAUAAUUUAUGAUGUUGUUUUAAAAACCCCAGAUAUUGUCGUUGAGUUAACAAAUUAAAUCUAAUGAACGAAUGCUAUGGACAUUUAAGUUAUGCACUUAUUCUAAAGAGAAAUAACUCAUCAAAGUAAACUGAUCCUGGAAACAUGGGAACGGUUGGUCAUAAUGUAUGAAACACAUAUAUCUUUUGAAGUUUCUGGAGAGGACACAUUCAUUCUAUCGAAAAGGUGAUUGCUGCUGGUGGUAUAAUAGAUGACUUCUUAAUAGAAACAUCUAAAACUUACGGACUGGUAUUUCGUCUUUGUUGGUGGAAUGAAACCUUUGUUGUUGUUUUAGAUCCAGAAGGCAUUAAGGAUAUUAUGGUAACUGGAAGUCUCCCGAGGUCAACACGGAUGAGUGACAAUGUCGCCAACGUUUUUGGUGCAAGGUAA